RNAcentral lists this ribosomal RNA (1181 nucleotides) under Nitrosopumilus maritimus. Its description in RNAcentral is "bacterial SSU rRNA". It matches the Rfam family "Archaeal small subunit ribosomal RNA", at positions 116 to 1297 of the family's 1478-position model. Lineage: Archaea; Thermoproteati; Nitrososphaerota; Nitrososphaeria; Nitrosopumilales; Nitrosopumilaceae. The record is from RNAcentral.
AUGGACGGGAAUAACCUCGGGAAACUGAGUAUAAUGCCCGAUAGAACACUAUACCUGGAAUGGUUUGUGUUCCAAAUGAUUUAUCGCCGUAGGAUGGGACUGCGGCCUAUCAGUUUGUUGGUGAGGUAAUGGCCCACCAAGACUAUUACAGGUACGGGCUCUGAGAGGAGUAGCCCGGAGAUGGGUACUGAGACACGGACCCAGGCCCUAUGGGGCGCAGCAGGCGAGAAAACUUUGCAAUGUGCGAAAGCACGACAAGGUUAAUCCGAGUGGUUUGUGCUAAACGAACCUUUUGACAGUCCUAGAAACACUGUUGAAUAAGGGGUGGGCAAGUUCUGGUGUCAGCCGCCGCGGUAAAACCAGCACCUCAAGUGGUCAGGAUGAUUAUUGGGCCUAAAGCAUCCGUAGCCGGCUCUGUAAGUUUUCGGUUAAAUCUGUACGCUCAACGUACAGGCUGCCGGGAAUACUGCAGAGCUAGGGAGUGGGAGAGGUAGACGGUACUCGGUAGGAAGGGGUAAAAUCCUUUGAUCUAUUGAUGACCACCUGUGGCGAAGGCGGUCUACCAGAACACGUCCGACGGUGAGGGAUGAAAGCUGGGGGAGCAAACCGGAUUAGAUACCCGGGUAGUCCCAGCUGUAAACUAUGCAAACUCAGUGAUGCAUUGGCUUGUGGCCAAUGCAGUGCUGCAGGGAAGCCGUUAAGUUUGCCGCCUGGGAAGUACGUACGCAAGUAUGAAACUUAAAGGAAUUGGCGGGGGAGCACCACAAGGGGUGAAGCCUGCGGUUCAAUUGGAGUCAACGCCAGAAAUCUUACCCGGAGAGACAGCAGAAUGAAGGUCAAGCUGAAGACUUUACCAGACAAGCUGAGAGGUGGUGCAUGGCCGUCGCCAGCUCGUGCCGUGAGAUGUCCUGUUAAGUCAGGUAACGAGCGAGAUCCCUGCCUCUAGUUGCCACCAUUACUCUCAGGAGUAGUGGGGCGAAUUAGCGGGACCGCCGUAGUUAAUACGGAGGAAGGAAGGGGCCACGGCAGGUCAGUAUGCCCCGAAACUCUGGGGCCACACGCGGGCUGCAAUGGUAACGACAAUGGGUUUCGAAUCCGAAAGGAUGAGGUAAUCCUCAAACGUUACCACAGUUAUGACUGAGGGCUGCAACUCGCCCUCACGAAUAUGGAAUCCCUAGUAA